UGGUUUAGCCAAUGGGAGGAAAGAAGAUGUUGAUGGGUGUGAGAGUACACAAAUGAAGUGAUAUGUUACCAGAAGGUACACACCAUCACGAGGUCUAGCACUGAUCAGUUCGCGAGGAAAACGUUGGGAAAAUUAACACGAACAAUUCGAAAUGAAUACACCGCUACUGGCAUCGUUCUUGUUGAUGUUUUAUCCUUUGGUUGUUGAUUCAGCAACAUCGAAGAAUGAAUCUUCAUCAGUGGAAGAAACACUUAAAAGCAUACUUGACCAAAAUUACGCACUCGUUCUCGCGGGAAAGGGUAAAGACGUGCUGAAAUUCUACACUGAUGACUGUGUAUUAAUUAAUCAAGGUUUACCGGCAAUAAUUGGCAAAACUGAUUUGUUAAAGCACUUCCAAGGCGAGAAUUUGUCAGCUAUUAAAAGAUGAACGUUUUAUCGACAAAGUUUAUGACAAGGGAGACAUUGUGACUCUUAGAUACCACUUGACGUCGCAUGGAAAAGAUUGCAGUGUCCUUGCAACUGUCCGAGUAAUCAUCGUUUGGAAAAAGAUCAAGGGUAAAUACUUGAUUCACAAUCUUGUUUCAAAUGUGCGAGAGAACCUCUGUCCGCCGACGUCAUGAUUGUUGAACUAAACAUUGGAGAAAACAAGAUCCUACAUUUAUUUGUCAUAUUAUGUAGCCUGAUAUUUUAGAUAAAAUGAGCGUUGGUUUGAAUAAUUCUUGACAUCAUGCGGAAAACGAAUUCAUUAAUUGUUUUAUUAUUCACUGAAGUAUUAUCAAAACAUAUCUAUAUAAAACAUUUUUCAAACCUUCGCUAAGUUGUUUUUGUCAGACAAUUUAUUCAAAUUCGUUUCGUUUAAUUAUGUUGUAAAUAUGUUCAAAGACAGCUUCGCCGCUUUUUUAGUGUUUUCCGCACCCUUUUCGUCUAAAAGCUUUCACUUCCUUUUUAGAAACUGUGGCAAACAUCGCUGUUGUUUAAUUUGCUUUCAAAACAUGCUUUUAAUGGCGUCCAUAAUUUUAGAAAUAUUAUUUGUAGAUAUGACGCCAUAAUUGCAGAUAUCGAGAAUUAUCUGCAGGUAGUUGACCAAUCACAGCUUGCUUACAUAUUGAAUAAUAAUGAUUAUUCACAUCUCUACGCAGACAAAUUUCGUAUUCAUAGUUCAAUACGACAGAUGAAUGUUACAUGUCAACAAAGGCUAAUUUACCACAAAAAGUAAAGUUUUUUUAUAAUCA
Long non-coding RNA from Xenia sp. Carnegie-2017, 1232 nucleotides. RefSeq lists it as uncharacterized. The record is from RefSeq and is a predicted model, not a curated record. The transcript is spliced from 4 exons. NCBI's taxonomy places the organism in Eukaryota, Metazoa, Cnidaria, Anthozoa, Malacalcyonacea, Xeniidae.